GUAGAAUCAAUCAACGGCACCUA
This 23-nucleotide small RNA is filed under the name Arabidopsis thaliana (thale cress). Lineage: Eukaryota; Viridiplantae; Streptophyta; Magnoliopsida; Brassicales; Brassicaceae. The record is from RNAcentral.